Molecule: ribosomal RNA, 233 nt
Filed under: uncultured bacterium
Lineage: Bacteria
Description: partial 16S ribosomal RNA
Rfam family: Bacterial small subunit ribosomal RNA
Source: RNAcentral
CACGGGUGAGUAACACGUAUCCAACCUGCCGUCUACUCUUGGACAGCCUUCUGAAAGGAAGAUUAAUACAAGAUGGCAUCAUGAGUCCGCAUGUUCACAUGAUUAAAGGUAUUCCGGUAGACGAUGGGGAUGCGUUCCAUUAGAUAGUAGGCGGGGUAACGGCCCACCUAGUCUACGAUGGAUAGGGGUUCUGAGAGGAAGGUCCCCCACAUUGGAACUGAGACACGGUCCAA